UAGGUGAACCUGCGGAAGGAUCAUUACCGAGUGAGGGCCCUCUGGGUCCAACCUCCCACCCGUGUUUAUUCUACCUUGUUGCUUCGGCGGGCCCGCCUCACGGCCGCCGGGGGGCACUCGCCCCCGGGCCCGCGCCCGCCGAAGACACCAAUGAACUCUGUCUGAAGAUUGCAGUCUGAGCAGAUUAGCUAAAUCAGUUAAAACUUUCAACAACGGAUCUCUUGGUUCCGGCAUCGAUGAAGAACGCAGCGAAAUGCGAUAAGUAAUGUGAAUUGCAGAAUUCAGUGAAUCAUCGAGUCUUUGAACGCACAUUGCGCCCCCUGGUAUUCCGGGGGGCAUGCCUGUCCGAGCGUCAUUGCUGCCCUCAAGCACGGCUUGUGUGUUGGGCUUCGCCCCCCGGCUCCCGGGGGGCGGGCCCGAAAGGCAGCGGCGGCACCGCGUCCGGUCCUCGAGCGUAUGGGGCUUCGUCACCCGCUCUGUAGGCCCGGCCGGCGCCCGCCGGCGACCCCAAUCAAUCUUUCCAGGUUGACCUCGGAUCAGGUAGGGAUACCCGCUGAACUUAAGCAUAUCAAUAAGCGGAGGAAAAGAAACCAACAGGGAUUGCCUCAGUAACU
RNAcentral lists this ribosomal RNA (614 nucleotides) under Penicillium sp. BAB-1995. RNAcentral's name for it is "eukaryotic LSU rRNA". The stretch from base 202 to 355 matches the Rfam family "5.8S ribosomal RNA". Lineage: Eukaryota; Fungi; Ascomycota; Eurotiomycetes; Eurotiales; Aspergillaceae. The record is from RNAcentral.